Molecule: small nucleolar RNA, 133 nt
Organism: Nothobranchius furzeri (turquoise killifish)
Lineage: Eukaryota; Metazoa; Chordata; Actinopteri; Cyprinodontiformes; Nothobranchiidae
Source: Ensembl
UUGCAUCCACUGAUAGACCAGAAGCAGACAUUGUUGGCUUCUUGGUUUGCGCAAAGAUGCUAAACUGAGCCUUCCUCGUGCUUUCUGACUGCUGAAUAUCAUAGCAGCACAGAUAAGAAUGUGGAAAACAAUU